UGAUUCAUGUUUACCUUUGCACCAGGACACAAACGAGUUUCUUAUAACUCACAUUUUCCUGUGGGAAAGUCCCCGGACAUAUGGUAGAAAGUACCAAGAUGUAAAUUCUUAUCGCACUUCUUGAAUAUCCCCACUCAAUACAAGAUGAGGUAAAACUCAGAAUUAUAGUGGCGUUGAUACGAGAUUGCGAAUUGGUCACGUCACUUAAAGUUACGCGAGGAAUCUUUGGGAAGUAAUUUCUGAUAUUCAACACAAUGGGGCUCACAAAGCAAGAAUC
This 277-nucleotide RNase MRP RNA is filed under the name Clunio marinus. RNAcentral's name for it is "RNase MRP". It matches the Rfam family "RNase MRP". Rfam says of the family: RNase MRP is an enzymatically active ribonucleoprotein with two distinct roles in eukaryotes. In mitochondria it plays a direct role in the initiation of mitochondrial DNA replication. Lineage: Eukaryota; Metazoa; Arthropoda; Insecta; Diptera; Chironomidae. The record is from Rfam by way of RNAcentral.